GGCCGGGUGGGGGGCUCCGGCCGGGGCAUCGGGCAUUGGCGGCCCGGAGCGGAGUUCUGGGCCCUGCGCCCCGUCCCGGGAGGGCCUGGCUGCUCGGGGACGCCGCGUGACCCCGAGGCCCGGCUCGGGCGCUGACAGCCCGGCGCGCGGAGCGGUGGCGGCGGGGUGGUCGCCGGCCGGGGGCGCUGAAGGUCAGGCGCGGGGCGCGGCGGGGCGCGGCCUGGGCCCGAGCCUGCGCGGAGGUGGGCGCCCGGGGCCAAACUUUCUGAAGUUGGGAGGGGGCGGAGGCGUGGGGCCCGGGGACCCCGGGAGCCCGCGCCUGGCUGUGCGGGGAGGCGGCGACCGGCGGGGAAGUGGAGCAGGGCGGUGAAAUUGGCCAGUGACGGAGUGCGCCGGAGUGAGGGAGCGGUGGUGACCCCGGGUGAACGCCGUGGCGUCUUCGAGGUGUGGCUUUCUCGGCCGGGGGCCUGGGAGGGAGAAGCGCCGAGGAGUUGGCCUCGGGACGGUCAGGAUCCGAGAGGAGUCCAGCGGCCGGUUCGGCGGAGCCCGGGUCCCUGCCCGAGGCUCUUCCGCACCCCUGGUCGCUGCACCUUCACCCGGAGGCCCAGAGCAUCAGUCCGUGGCCAGCAAGGGGCCGGCGGGGGAGGCCAGAGGGCAGCGUCCCCGCCCCUGCACCCUUGUUUUGGUGCCCCUGUCAGUUCCGGUCAGACGUUCCGCUUGCCAGGGCCUCUUGGGCUUCUCUACUUGACAAGGUGAAGGCCGGGGUGCCCCUGUCCCUCUCCUCCCUGCGUCCCCGCCGUCUGGAAGGCCUGGGAGGAGACCAGACAAAAAGCUGCCCUCGUCUUUUGGGGGGAGCUGAGAAGCUGGGACAGUGAGGGGCGCAGGAAGAGACCACAACCCUAAAAGGAGCUGGGGCAAAGGGGAUGCGCUUGUUCUGCUGUUCUUUGGGCAUCAAGAAGUAGGAGGAAGAGGAGGAGGGAGUUUAAGGUCUGGUGCAGGAAGUGGCUUUGAGGGCCAUGGGACGUCCUAGGCUGGAGCUGAGGAGCCCAGUGGCCCCGGGAGGGAGUGAGCACAGGGCGUGACCACCCAUACAAGGCACCUGAGCCUUCUCAGGACAGGUGGCCCUGGGACCUAGGCUCCGGUCUCAGAGCUUCCACACGGGUUGCAGUCCGUGAACAUCUGCCCACAGCCUAGGGUGCAGAGGUUGGGAACCUGGGGGGUGCAGAGAUUGGGAACCUGGGGGUUCCUGGCUGAAGCUCACUGAGGAUCCCCAGUCUGGGGCUGAGAAAGCGCCCCAGGGACCUCGAGGUUGUGCAGUGUAGACUACCAUCUGUUCUGUGCCCCACACGGCCGUCCCCUCAGCCUCAGGUGGGCAGGCAGUGCUGAAGUGGCACCGCCAUUGUCACCCUUCUGUCCCAGCUCUGCUGCUCAGCAAAACGCCAGACCAGCGAGCCACCACUCCAGUAUCCCUUGUGACAGGGUCAGCCAGCUUCUGCUGCAGUGCAGGCCACCACCUCGCCCGCCUCUUCCCACAUCCUGUGCCCUACCACAGCCAGCCUGGCCCCGUGCCCUGCCCUCCUGACUGGCUUCCUCACUUGCGGACACCUGCCUCCACUCCGGGAGCCCACAGCUCCCUGCCCUCUCUGCCCUGCUGCUCUCGGGGAUGUCUCUCACCUUGCUGAGUGGCUGGUCAGAUGUCACCAGCUCCUCACGACUGCCUGGCUCAGGGUGCCCUCUCCAAAGUGGGUAUAGAAUAAGAUCUGCUGCCUCCUCACGGCUGGAGACAGACACCCCAGCUCGCAUGGUACACCUCUUGGGACUGCAGAGGGCGGGCUGGCUGUGGGGCCUGGGCCCAGAUGCCAGGCCUGCAGGAGGGGCGCAGGAGAUGACUCCGCCCACCAGAGCCUGAGAUGUCCAAGUGUCUCAGGGCACCACUGUCCCUCGACUUCACAUUCCUUUUCCUCCUCUCCUCCAAGUAAUCAUAAUAAUAGGGGGACAACCCAUUGGGACCCCUCCUGUCCCUCAGAACUGUUCCUAUUCCCCAUUCCUAGUCUCCAGUAAACUUUCCUACCCCUAAAAAUAAAUAAAA
Molecule: long non-coding RNA, 2089 nt
Organism: Cavia porcellus (domestic guinea pig)
Lineage: Eukaryota; Metazoa; Chordata; Mammalia; Rodentia; Caviidae
Exons: 2
Source: RefSeq, a predicted model, not a curated record